UUACACAGUGGAAUGUAGAGUGUAGCAACUGCCCUGGGAGGGCCUAUAGGCCAUAGCAACCUGGCUGUAGCUGUGGUUGACCAAUCAACACAGGACAGGUCACCCAAACCUGGAAGUGCACCAAUCCUGAGACUGUUGUGGGCCCCAGACACUCCCCUUGAUCUACCUCAAUAUAUUUCCUGCCCCAUGGUCCUCUAAGCCCUUCUUGUUCUACCCACUGUGUUGGAUGGAUGGAAGAUGCAAGUUAAUACAGUUAACUUAUUAAUUAAAGACUCUUUGCUUUUGCAUCAGAUCCAGUCUCUUGGUAAUUUUGGGGUUCAGAGUUUGGGUACAACAAAAGUUUUUACUGCUUUAUAUUAUUGCCAAAUUUGGGGGGGGGACAGUCCUUUAUCUCAUAGGUCUUUUGGGGACAGGGAAAGUCCAAAUUUUAGCAAAUAUAUUGAUGAGAAUUAUAUUAUAUGGCCAUCUAGCUGCAAGAGAAGCCAGGAACACACACAGAUUUCCACCUUCCAUGUUAGAAAUAAAGAGAAAAGACCAAUAAGGAAUAUUUGUCUCAAAGCUGAACAUUGAAACCAUCUACUUUUCACAGCCAGCAUGGAUACAGAUCCCAAAUCACAUCUUACUGUGUGUCUCAGUUUGUCUUUAUAUUAUUUCUUUGUAUUCAUUAGCAUGACCUUAUUUUUGCAAAUGGAGACAAUCAGCAGAAGUUCUGGGAAGUAAUAAAGAAUCAUAAGGGUGGAGGAGACACAAAAAAACCUGCCUCAGACUCAAAGCUAAAGCUCUAAGAAACCUUUCCCACCAGCCAGUUCCCAAAUAACCAUACAGAGGCUUUUAUUAAUUAUAAAUACUUAGGGGAUAGCUUAGGCUUGUUCCUAACUUGCUUGUAUAACUUAAAUUAACCCUUUUCUAUUAAUCUAUAUGCUGCUUACUUCAUCUAUGAACUUCCCAUGUUGCUUCUUCCUUGUCUGGCUUGAGACUCUCGUGGCUCCCUGACUCAGCCCUUUCUUUGUCCUAGAAUUUUUGUCUGGUUCUCCCACCUAACCUUACCCUUCCUAGCUAUAGGCCAGUCAUCUUUAUUAAACCACUUUAAAAUAAGGUAGGAUUUAAACCACUUUCCAUAUGGUUCUCUCAGUUCUGCAUUUUCAAGGCCUUUAUUUUCCAUUUAGAGCAGUUUUUGGACUUUAAUUCUCCUUUGAUAAACAAUCAAAUCUCUUAUCUCCCUAAAGGGACAUUACCAGGUUCAAAGUAAUGUAAGCAUCAUGGCUAGACAGAAAACAAUGGUAGUUUUCUAAGAACAGCUACACUUGGGCCUUUAGAGAGCACAUUUUUCACUUCCUUGCUGUUUUCCUUGCUUCAUUUUCAAAGCCUGCUACCUUGGCUCACACAGAGAUGGGGACUCUUCCAGUAGCAAAUGUCCAGCGCUGGAAAUGGUGGUAUAAUGGCACCCAACUGUGUGUGCGCUCUGUCCCUGUUAUGUUUUCCCCAAGUAUCUCCUACAACUACCACGCAGCUUGGGCCAAGCAAGUCUUUCUUGAGGCCUUGUUCUGGCAACGGCUGAGUAUGUGGAAAAAAGGGUUUUCCCCUGGAGUUUCACCACAGAAAUUUGGGUUGAUUUCUGACACAAGGAAAAGUUAUAACUGGUUUCACCUUGGAGUCUAGCUGGAUGAAGUUGGAAUUUCCUUUUCUUGGUCACAAAAGUCCCAAUUUCUUUAGAGUGCUGUCAAGAUGUGGAAAUGAAAAGAAAUUUUAAUGUCGACUUGAAGAUCCAGAACCAGAUCUGUGUUAUAAAUACUGAUGGGAGUUCGAAGCCAGCAUGGUCUACAGAGUGAGUGUCAGGACACGCUCCAAAGCUACACAGGGAAACCCUGUCUCAAAACAAAACAAAACAUAAUAAAAUAAACAAGAACAACACAAAUUUAAAAUAAGGUAGGAUAGAAAGAUGAAAAAUUAAGGGAGCAUGGGAAGGACAGGAGCUACUCAUCCUGGAGUCUGGUUGAAGGCUCUCCCUAGAUGAGAGUCAAGGAUUCCAGCUCAAUAGCGUUAUUUGCAGCAGAAGUUGCCUACAUGAAACAAACACAGAAAUGUUUCAAAAAGAACAUUGAGGGUUGGUGAGAAGGGCCAGCCGGGAAAGCUCUUGCUGUGCAAACCUGAUGACCUGUCUUCAUUACUUUUCUGUUGCUGUGACAAAUCUUCAUGACCAAGUCAAUUUAUAGAAGAGAGCAUUUAAUCUGAGGUUCAUGCUUCCAAAAGGACUCUCCUAAGGACCCCCUUGUGCAGCCCUUGUGACCAAGUUUUACCUUAUCACAUUGCAGUCCUAUCCAAGAUACCCACACACCCCUCUAUAGUCUCAUUUGCCAAAAAAGAAGGUGUUGCCACAGCAAGGCUAUAAUGUGUGCUGGGAAGGACUCCUUACAUUCAUGGCAUCAAGGAUCUUAUACCAGAGGCCUAAUUCAGCCUUCUGCAGCUUGUCUCCAUUCUUACCACCUUUCUGCUUCCUGCCAUAUGGAGAUGAAAACCCUCACCAGAUCCCAACACCUUGAUCUUUGACUUCCUGCUUUCCAGAACUGUGAGAAAAUGAUAGUCUGCAUUGCCCAGCCUUCUUAGUCUCAGCCCCGGUUCCUGUCCAGCCCCCAAGAGCAAAUGUGCAGCCGAUAGCAACAUUGGAAGCUCUGUCUUGCUAAGAACAUUAUAGAAUGGAAUGUUAGCCACUGUGGGAUGUGUUUGGAAUCAAUGAUGCUCCACCGAGGAACACUGCUCUGCUGCCCAGGUGUGAUUCCCUUUUUGUCCCACCUUGCCAGCUCACCCAGAAGGCUUCACCCAGAGCACAGACUGGUCAGUGUAGGGCAGAGGUAUCUAUAGUGGUGGGGUUGGGGGGCAGGGAGGACACCUGAUUUUUCAAACUGUAGCAUAAAUAGAUGUAAGGCUCAUUUUAACAUGCCCAGUUAAUCUGGAAUGAGUGUUUGCAGACAAAACACAGGACCCCUACUUGCUCUUGCACUUCAGAUAAACAAUACUUCAUUCAAACAAGAUAAAUAGCCUAGACCACAGCUGCUAGAAGACUCACAGGCUGCUGGUGUGGUCAGGAUUGCUGCCACAGCUAAAAGACCUCCUCUGGAGCAGGAGCCUCCUGUGUUCCCUAGGAGCUCUGGGUUAGUCCAGCUUAGUCAGAGGAAGAGAGAGAAGUCCUUCCAGGCUAUUAUCUGUCUGAAUGUGCCAGUGGCCAGCAAAUCUGAACCAGACUGAGGUGUGUUACUGCUUUGGUUCUGAGUUCUCCUCUCAAAUUACCAUCCAAGGCACGGGAGCCAUCUUCCCCAGCAGCAGCAUCCAUGCCCAGCCCUCAGUCAGUGGAACUCGGUGUGCUUCUGAAUACCCCCUGGCAGGCCUUCCCUGUAUUUGCAGAGUCUGUGACAAGAGCAAACAAAACCUGCUGCAAAUUGGAAAAUGCUCUUCCACAAAAACAAACUAGAAAGAAAUGUGGAAAUUCUGACUUGUACAAGACUGGAAGUUGGCAGACUAUUAAAGAUGAUGAAAUUUAAUUAUCACUGCACAUGUCUGGGUGUUCUGUUGAGAAGUCAGAGAUGUCUGGAUGGGCAAAAACAUAAAUUAUACAAUGUUGUGUGCAUAGCCCAUAAAAUCUGUUUUUCUUGUAUUCCUUUCAACAAAAUUGUGUUGGUACGCUAAACAUAUUUACAUAAUUUGUGUUCUAUUGGCAGUAACUACCUAGAAAGUAUAAGUUGGCCAAUCUUUUCUGUAUGUUACUAGCUAUAGAAAUCAAUGUUUUUGAGACCCAUUUGUGA
This 3797-nucleotide long non-coding RNA is filed under the name Cricetulus griseus (Chinese hamster). Its description in RNAcentral is "lncRNA (ENSCGRG00015041269.1)". The record is from RNAcentral. Lineage: Eukaryota; Metazoa; Chordata; Mammalia; Rodentia; Cricetidae.